CAAAAUCAACGGACAUAUUUCGUUGUGCAGCUCCCUCGUGGCCAAGGCAUCUGGAGUGGCUCGCUUUAUGACUUUCCCGCUAGAAUCAGAGCGCUCCAUCAACGGCCUCUUUUCUCUCGAGUGUUCGUUGCCGAAAUCAAACGCUAGAUCAUUACCAGGCAAUCGGAAGAAGAGAGAGAGAGAAGAAUCGAAAGAAGUUUCUUGACUCGUCUCGGUGAUGAAAAAUAGAGGGCAUUUUCUUCGACAAGUUCAUGAUCCAAGCGGGGGCGGAUUUUUCAGAAGUGGCGACUGAUCUGGCGAUGAUGAAUGCGACGGUGAAGUUCAUAUUUCGAAAUACGGCCUCGUUUUUCGGCGUUCAUGUCACUUCCACUCCGCUUCGGCUUUCGUAUUCUCAGCUCACACUUGCCUCUGGAACUAAGAGAGCAGGACGAUGAACUCUUAUGUCAGUGAGAUCUGUUCCAGUAACAGAGAGGGGAAGAACAAUGCAGUUGCUCUUGAUGAAGUGAUUGCUUGGACAACAGAAAAGCAGUUGGUCUUGUCAUUGAGGCCGGUUGGAUUUUCGCAUCUGCUAGGAAUACUGGUAGAAGAAAGAGUUUGAUCAGCUGAAGAGGAAAAUGGCAAAGUCUAAGAGAGAAUUUGGUCUGCUGGAGAGGAAAAGAUGGAGGUGGAGAACAUCGAUGGAGAUAAUAAAGAUGAGGGCAUUCUACAAGGUAUCCAACUCCGGUUGCUACUUUCAACACUCCUUCACGUAAGAAAUUUUCUAUUUGACAUCAUGAACUACCAUAUGUGCAACCUAGUUCUCACAGGAAUUACUUUUUUGGCAAUGUUGUGGCUCUAAUAAGGUUAGUUUCCUAUUUUUACUUUUUAUUAUAUCUUUUUUUUUUCUUUUCUUUUCUGAUGUUCCUGGUGCUCUACUGGUAUCAUGUUUUUUGUUUCAAGAGUAAAUGGUUAAACUACAACAAAGAAUUGUAAUGAAUGUUAAAGUUGAAAGAGGUUCAUGAGUAAAGAAUUAAAUGACAUCUUUUGUUUUAUGAGUGUUUUAGGUAGUUCGGAAUAGUUUUUUUAAAAGAAAAAUGAAGCUUUCAUUGAGAUCAAAUGAACGAUUACAAGAGGAACACACAAAAAAAAAAAAAAAAAAACCAUCCAAAAAGGAGACCAGUUGACCUAAUUUUAGUUUGUUAAUGGAUAAUCUUUUGGAUACUUUUAGUUUGUUAAUGGAUAAUCUUUUGGAUACUUUUAGUUUGUGAUGGUUAUGUAAGCAAGGAAGGAAGGAAGAUAAGUUUGGAUAAGAGAAUUAUGGGUAAAAGUAUGAGAAUGGUGGAUAACGGCCUAUUCAAAAGGUUAAGAACCCAAAAUGGAAGUUUGUUCAAAUUGGAGAUUCGAAAAGCUUAUUUUGGAACCAAGAAUUAGGAUGUCAUAUGCCAUGAGAAGUAGGAAAAAAUUUAUAUCAAGGAUAUGGAAAAGUGAAGAAUUGUUGGAAUCAAGGAAUAAGGGAUUUCAAAAGAAAGUUUGUGGAAUUUUAGAGGAAGGAAACACUCGAAUAAAAGGAUUUGCUUAAUUGGUUGGUGAUAAGGAAAAGUUACCUUCUAUUUGGUCUAUAAGUUCGUUAAUGGACAAUCUUUUGGAUAUUUUUAGUUUGGGAUGGUUAUGUAUGUAAGGAAGGAAGGAAGAUAAGUUUGGAUAAGACAAUUGUGGGUAAAAGUAUGAGAACGGUGGAUAAAGGAUUAUUCAAAAUGUUAGAACCGAAAAUGGAAGUUUGUUGAAAUUGGAGAUUCGAAAAGCUUAUUUUGGAACCAAGAAAUAGGAUGUCAUAUGCCAUGAGAAGUAGGAAAGAAUUUAUAUCAAGGAUAUGGAAAAGUUAAGAAUUGUUGGAAUCAAGGAAUAAGGGAUCUCAAAAGAAAGUUUGUGAAAUUUUAGAAGGAAGCACUCGAAUAAAAGAAUUUGCUUAAUUGGUUGGUGAUAAGGAAAAGUUAAAUUGUAUUUGGUCUAUAAGUUCGUUAAUGGUUAUGAUGGUUAUGUAUGCAAGGAAGGAAGAUAAGUUUCGAUAAGAGAAUUGUUGGUAAAAGUAUGAGAAUGGUGGAUAAAGGACUAUUCAAAAUGUUAGAACCGAAAAUGGAAGUUUGUUCAAAUUAGAGAUUCCAAAAGCUUAUUUUGGAACCUAGAAAUAGGAUGUCAUAUGCCAUGAGAAGUAGGAAAGAAUUUAUAUCAAGGAUAUGGAAAAGUGAAGAGUUGUUGGAAUCAAAGAAUAAGGGAUCUCUGAAGAAAGAUUGUGGAAUUUUAGAGGAAGGAAGCACUCGAAUAAAAGGAUUUGCUUAAUUGGUUGGUGAUAUGGGAAAGUUAAAUUCGAUUUGGUCUAUAAGUUUGCUAAUGGACAAUCUUUUGGAUAUUUUUAGUUUGUGAUAGUUAUGUAUGUGAGGAAGGAAGGAAGAUAAGUUUGGAUAAGAUUAUUGUGGGUAAAAGUAUGAGAAUGGUGGAUAUAGGACUACUCAAAAGGUUAAGAACCGAAAAUGAAAGUUUGUUCAAAUUGGAAAUUCGAAAAGCUUAUUUUGGAACCUAAAAAUAGGAUGUCAUAUGCCAUGAGAAGUAGGAAAGAAUUUAUAUCAAGGAUAAGGAAAAGUGAAGAAUUGUUGGAAUCAAGAAAUAAGGGAUCUCAAAAGAAAAUUUGUGGAAUUUUAAUGGAAGGAAGCACUCGAAUAAAAGGAUUUGCUUAAUUGAUUGGUGAUAAGGAAAAGUUAAAUUCUAUUUGGUCUAUAGGUUCGUUAAUGCACAAUCUUUUGGAUAUUUUUAGUUUGUAAUGGUUAUGUAUGCAAGGAAGCAAGGAAGAUAAGUUUGGAUAAGAGAAUUGUGCGUAAAAGUAUGAGAAUGGUGGAUAUAGGACUAUUCAAAAGGUUAAGAACCGAAAAUGGAAGUUUGUUCAAAUUGGAGAUUCGAAAAGCUUAUUUUGGAACCAAGAAAUAGGAAAUCAUAUGCCAUGAGAAGUAGGAAAGAAUCAAUAUCAAGAAUAUGGAAAAGUGAAGAAUUGUUGAAAUCAAGGAAUAAGGGAUUUCAAAAGAAAGUUUGUGGAAUUUUAGAGGAAGGAAUACUCGAAUAAAAGGAUUUGCUUAAUUGGUUGGUGAUAAGGAAAAGUUAAAUUCUAUUUGGUCUAUAAGUUCAAUAAUGCACAAUCUUUUGUAUAUUUUUAGUUUGUAAUUGUUAUGUAUGCAAGGAAGCAAGGAAGAUAAGUUUGGAUAAGAGAAUUGUGCGUAAAAGUAUGAGAAUGGUGGAUAUAGGACUAUUCAAUAGGUUAAGAACUGAAAAUGGAAGUUUGUUCAAAUUGGAGAUUCGAAAAGCUUAUUUUGGAAACAAGAAAUAGGAUGUCAUAUGCCAUGAGAAGUAGGAAAGAAUUUAUAUCAAGGAUAUGGAAAAGUUAAGAAUUGUUGGAAUCAAGGAAUAAGGGAUCUCAAAAGAAAGUUUGUGAAAUUUUAGAAGGAAGCACUCGAAUAAAAGAAUUUGCUUAAUUGGUUGGUGAUAAGGAAAAGUUAAAUUGUAUUUGGUCUAUAAGUUCGUUAAUGAACAAUCUUUUGGAUAUUUUUAGUUUGUGAUGGUUAUGUAUGCAAGGAAGGAAGGAAGAUAAGUUUGGAUAAGAGAAUUGUGCGUAAAAGUAUGAGAAUGGUGGAUAUAGGACUAUUCAAAAGGUUAAGAACCGAAAAUGGAAGAUUGUUGAAAUUGGAGAUUCGAAAAGCUUAUUUUGGAACAAAGAAAUAGGAUGUCAUAUGCCAUGAGAAGUAGGAAAGAAUUUAUAUCAAGGAAAUGGAAAAGUGAAGAAUUGUUGGAAUCAAGGAAUAAGGGAUCUCAAAAGAAAGUUUGUGGAAUUUUAGAGGAAGGAAGC
This is a long non-coding RNA of Cucurbita moschata (crookneck pumpkin), 3868 nucleotides long. RefSeq lists it as uncharacterized. The record is from RefSeq and is a predicted model, not a curated record. The transcript is spliced from 6 exons. NCBI's taxonomy places the organism in Eukaryota, Viridiplantae, Streptophyta, Magnoliopsida, Cucurbitales, Cucurbitaceae.